This 433-nucleotide ribosomal RNA is filed under the name uncultured bacterium. RNAcentral's name for it is "partial 16S ribosomal RNA". It matches the Rfam family "Bacterial small subunit ribosomal RNA", at positions 29 to 507 of the family's 1533-position model. The record is from RNAcentral.
AACGAACGCUGGCGGCAUGCCUAACACAUGCAAGUCGAACGAGACCUUCGGGUCUAGUGGCGCACGGGUGCGUAACGCGUGGGAACCUGCCCUUAGGUUCGGAAUAACUCCCCGAAAGGGGUUCUAAUACCGGAUAAUGUCUUCGGACCAAAGAUUUAUCGCCUUUGGAUGUGCCCGCGUUGGAUUAGCUAGUUGGUAGGGUAAAAGCCUACCAAGGCGACGAUCCAUAGCUGGUCUGAGAGGAUGAUCAGCCACACUGGGACUGAGACACGGCCCAGACUCCUACGGGAGGCAGCAGUGGGGAAUAUUGGACAAUGGGCGAAAGCCUGAUCCAGCAAUGCCGCGUGAGUGAUGAAGGCCUUCGGGUUGUAAAGCUCUUUUACCCGGGAUGAUAAUGACAGUACCGGGAGAAUAAGCUCCGGCUAACUCCGUG